UGGGGAAUUUUGGACAAUGGGCGCAAGCCUGAUCCAGCCAUGCCGCGUGCGGGAAGAAGGCCUUCGGGUUGUAAACCGCUUUUGUCAGGGAAGAAAUCUUCUGAGUUAAUACCUCGGGAGGAUGACGGUACCUGAAGAAUAAGCACCGGCUAACUACGUGCCAGCAGCCGCGGUAAUACGUAGGGUGCAAGCGUUAAUCGGAAUUACUGGGCGUAAAGCGUGCGCAGGCGGUUUUGUAAGACAGAGGUGAAAUCCCCGGGCUCAACCUGGGAACUGCCUUUGUGACUGCAAGGCUUGAGUGCGGCAGAGGGGGAUGGAAUUCCGCGUGUAGCAGUGAAAUGCGUAGAUAUGCGGAGGAACACCGAUGGCGAAGGCAAUCCCCUGGGCCUGCACUGACGCUCAUGCACGAAAGCGUGGGGAGCAAACAGGAUUAGAUACCCUGGUAGUCCACGCCCUAAACGAUGUCAACUGGUUGUUGGGAAGGUUCCUUCUCAGUAACGUAGCUAACGCGUGAAGUUGA
This 520-nucleotide ribosomal RNA is filed under the name uncultured bacterium. RNAcentral describes it as "partial 16S ribosomal RNA". It matches the Rfam family "Bacterial small subunit ribosomal RNA", at positions 355 to 868 of the family's 1533-position model. The record is from RNAcentral.